This 164-nucleotide ribosomal RNA is filed under the name uncultured bacterium. RNAcentral's name for it is "partial 16S rRNA". It matches the Rfam family "Bacterial small subunit ribosomal RNA", at positions 355 to 511 of the family's 1533-position model. The record is from RNAcentral.
UAGGGAAUCUUCGGCAAUGGGGGCAACCCUGACCGAGCAACGCCGCGUGAGUGAAGAAGGUUUUCGGAUCGUAAAGCUCUGUUGUUAGAGAAGAACGUGUGUGAGAUGGAAAGUUCACACAGUGACGGUAACUUACCAGAAAGGGACGGCUAACUACGUGUCAG